This 374-nucleotide ribosomal RNA is filed under the name uncultured organism. RNAcentral's name for it is "bacterial SSU rRNA". It matches the Rfam family "Bacterial small subunit ribosomal RNA", at positions 526 to 896 of the family's 1533-position model. The record is from RNAcentral.
CGGGGGGGGCAAGCGUUGUUCGGAAUUACUGGGCGUAAAGGGCUUGUAGGCGGCCAACUAAGUCCGACGUGAAAUCCCCAGGCUUAACCUGGGAACUGCGUCGGAUACUGGAUGGACUUGAAUUCGGGAGAGGGAUGCAGAAUUCCAGGUGUAGCGGUGAAAUGCGUAGAUAUCUGGAGGAAUACCGGUGGCGAAGGCGGCAUCCUGGACCGACAUUGACGCUGAGGAGCGAAAGCUAGGGGAGCAAACGGGAUUAGAUACCCCGGUAGUCCUAGCCCUAAACGAUGAAUGCUUGGUGUGGCGGGUAUCGAUCCCUGCCCGUGCCGAAGCUAACGCAUUAAGCAUUCCGCCUGGGGAGUACGGUCGCAAGGCUG